AUUCCAGCUCCAAUAGCGUAUAUUAAAGUUGUUGCAGCUAAAACGCUCGUAGUCGGAUUUCGGGGCGGCUUCGUCGGUCUGCCUCAAACGAGGUACGCACCAGUUGUCUGAAUCCAUCCUCGGGGAGAACAUAUGUGUCAUUAAUUUGAUGUGUAUGGGAUCCUCGUCAUUUACUGUGAGCAAAAUAGAGUGUUCAAAGCAGGCUUAUGCCGUUGAAUACAUUAGCAUGGAAUAAUAAGAUAGGACCUUGGUCUAUUUUGUUGGUUUGUACUCCAAGGUAAUGAUUAAUAGGGAUAGUUGGGGGUAUUCGUAUUCAAUUGUCAGAGGUGAAAUUCUUGGAUUUAUGGAAGACGAACUACUGCGAAAGCAUUUACCAAGGAUGUUUUCAUUA
RNAcentral lists this ribosomal RNA (391 nucleotides) under Chrysophyceae sp. RNAcentral describes it as "partial small subunit ribosomal RNA". It matches the Rfam family "Eukaryotic small subunit ribosomal RNA", at positions 582 to 975 of the family's 1831-position model. The record is from RNAcentral. Lineage: Eukaryota; Chrysophyceae.